Molecule: small nucleolar RNA, 125 nt
Filed under: Tupaia belangeri (northern tree shrew)
Lineage: Eukaryota; Metazoa; Chordata; Mammalia; Scandentia; Tupaiidae
Description: Small nucleolar RNA SNORA31 (ENSTBEG00000021184.1)
Source: RNAcentral
AUGCAUCUAUUUGACAGACCCAGGGCAGUUGCUGUCUGCUGCUUAGGUCUUUACUACAGGUGCAAGAAAAAGUAUCUUUGAGCUGUCUGAUUGUGCUAGCCAAGAUUGAAUAGGGGAAUACAGGG